GUGGGGAAUCUUGCGCAAUGGGCGAAAGCCUGACACAGCAACGCCGCGUGCGGGAUGAAGGCCUUCGGGUUGUAAACCGCUUUCAGCAGGGACGAAAAUGACGGUACCUGCAGAAGAAGCUCCGGCUAACUACGUGCCAGCAGCCGCGGUAAUACGUAGGGAGCAAGCGUUGUCCGGAUUUAUUGGGCGUAAAGAGCUCGUAGGCGGUUUCGUAAGUCGAGUGUGAAAAAUCUGGGCUUAACCCAGUGGAGCACUCGAUACUGCGAUGACUUGAGUCUGGUAGAGGAGUGUGGAAUUCCUGGUGUAGCGGUGAAAUGCGCAGAUAUCAGGAGGAACACCAACGGCGAAGGCAGCACUCUGGGCCAGUACUGACGCUGAGGAGCGAAAGCGUGGGGAGCAAACAGGAUUAGAUACCCUUGUAGUCC
Molecule: ribosomal RNA, 425 nt
Filed under: uncultured bacterium
Lineage: Bacteria
Description: partial 16S ribosomal RNA
Rfam family: Bacterial small subunit ribosomal RNA
Source: RNAcentral